RNAcentral lists this ribosomal RNA (1050 nucleotides) under Enterococcus casseliflavus. RNAcentral describes it as "bacterial SSU rRNA". It matches the Rfam family "Bacterial small subunit ribosomal RNA", at positions 71 to 1106 of the family's 1533-position model. Lineage: Bacteria; Bacillati; Bacillota; Bacilli; Lactobacillales; Enterococcaceae. The record is from RNAcentral.
CUUGCUCCACCGAAAGAAAAAGAGUGGCGAACGGGUGAGUAACACGUGGGUAACCUGCCCAUCAGAAGGGGAUAACACUUGGAAACAGGUGCUAAUACCGUAUAACACUAUUUUCCGCAUGGAAGAAAGUUGAAAGGCGCUUUUGCGUCACUGAUGGAUGGACCCGCGGUGCAUUAGCUAGUUGGUGAGGUAACGGCUCACCAAGGCAACGAUGCAUAGCCGACCUGAGAGGGUGAUCGGCCACACUGGGACUGAGACACGGCCCAGACUCCUACGGGAGGCAGCAGUAGGGAAUCUUCGGCAAUGGACGAAAGUCUGACCGAGCAACGCCGCGUGAGUGAAGAAGGUUUUCGGAUCGUAAAACUCUGUUGUUAGAGAAGAACAAGGAUGAGAGUAGAACGUUCAUCCCUUGACGGUAUCUAACCAGAAAGCCACGGCUAACUACGUGCCAGCAGCCGCGGUAAUACGUAGGUGGCAAGCGUUGUCCGGAUUUAUUGGGCGUAAAGCGAGCGCAGGCGGUUUCUUAAGUCUGAUGUGAAAGCCCCCGGCUCAACCGGGGAGGGUCAUUGGAAACUGGGAGACUUGAGUGCAGAAGAGGAGAGUGGAAUUCCAUGUGUAGCGGUGAAAUGCGUAGAUAUAUGGAGGAACACCAGUGGCGAAGGCGGCUCUCUGGUCUGUAACUGACGCUGAGGCUCGAAAGCGUGGGGAGCGAACAGGAUUAGAUACCCUGGUAGUCCACGCCGUAAACGAUGAGUGCUAAGUGUUGGAAGGGUUUCCGCCCUUCAGUGCUGCAGCAAACGCAUUAAGCACUCCGCCUGGGGGAGUACGACCGCAAGGUUGAAACUCAAAGGAAUUGACGGGGGCCCGCACAAGCGGUGGAGCAUGUGGUUUAAUUCGAAGCAACGCGAAGAACCUUACCAGGUCUUGACAUCCUUUGACCACUCUAGAGAUAGAGCUUCCCCUUCGGGGGCAAAGUGACAAGUGGUGCAUGGUUGUCGUCAGCUCGUGUCGUGAGAUGUUGGGUUAAGUCCCGCAACGACCGCAACCCUU